This is a long non-coding RNA of Pan troglodytes (chimpanzee), 862 nucleotides long. RefSeq lists it as uncharacterized. The record is from RefSeq and is a predicted model, not a curated record. NCBI's taxonomy places the organism in Eukaryota, Metazoa, Chordata, Mammalia, Primates, Hominidae. The transcript has 4 exons.
CUUAGCUGCAUAUUGGGAUCACUUGGACAUCUUUCAGCACUGCUGGGGUCAGAGUCCCAGCCAGGUCCUAUCUCACUGGCCUGAGGUGCAGUCAGACAGCGUGGGUUUCUGGCACCCUCUGGCCUGGCUCCAAUGGGCAGCGCAGAUGGAGAACCACUGUCUACUGAGAAAGAGAGAAAGCAGCAUCAAUCAUGAAGCGCAACCGGAGCUCUGCGUCGCCCACUGACAGAUGUGCUUUCCAUGCGUAUUGGAGGUCUGUGGGUGAUGAGGACCAUAUCCACCUGGCAGGAUCAACAGAGGCAGAUGCACAGGUGUUGACAGCAGAAACGUGGGCCCCAAAAUGGGAAGCACAAGAGUGCCUGGCAGCAUUUAUCCUCAGUUCUUCCCCAAGGGCAUGUCCUGUUGAGAGCCGGUUUCACCUGUGCAGUGUGGCCUGAUGGCCCAGCAUCCAGGAGCUCUGCGCACCCUGCCGCCAUGGGCCAUCCGUCCCCAGACCUCUUCCCACAGGGUCACUGUGGUCCACCGUCCUGCCCUCGGGGAAUCUCGGCCUCCCUCUCACAGGCCCCGCCCACGGACUCAUUCACUGAUGCCAUCGCUGGACCCAAGUCAGUCAGAUGAACAGUAGGAUGGUGUCAGAGCCUCGACCUCGGGAAGCACAGGAUGAGAACAAUGCAGCUGCCUCCCCGGGCCGUCAACCCCAGCACGGAAAACUCACACUGGUCCUCACUCCAGCCUGAAUGCUCCUGCUGAGGCCAGCUCUGCUCUGUCCCAUUCUGUCAUCAUUAAAGAGAGAAGGGAUGGCCACAUCUACCUGGAAUAACCACUUCCUCCUCUGAACACAGCUCUCAUCUGGAGCCCCGAC